Molecule: long non-coding RNA, 1690 nt
Organism: Hylaeus anthracinus
Lineage: Eukaryota; Metazoa; Arthropoda; Insecta; Hymenoptera; Colletidae
Exons: 3
Source: RefSeq, a predicted model, not a curated record
UGAAAGUAACUCACUCGGCAAUGCUCAGCGAUGCUCGGAUAGGUUAUGUUACGGCGUACGUUUGUUCCCCCUCUACAAAUAAAUUUGCUAUAUGAUAAUACCGGAACCACCCAUUUUGCAUUUCUCUCGGACCUCCGUCGCCUCUACAUCCUCCUACAGGAGUUCACACUCCAGUUAGGAUAGAGCUCAAUGCUCAAAGCUCUUUUUUCCUCUUCAGAAUACGUCAUGAAACAAAAUAUCCCUAAGUCAGUAUCUUCCCGUGUCUCAAAAAUCGAAUAACAUCGAUGCCCUACAUUCAGCAAUCGAUAUAUCAAAUUUUCACAAUUGUUUAAUAAACGAUAUACGGCAAAAGGGAUGUCAACGUAUAUUUAUGAAUAUACAGAAAUUUUGUUUUGUCAAAAAUUUCAAUAGUCUCGAUACACCGUGGCUAGAAACCAUCAUAAAAAAUUUCAUAAUUUUCGUAUAUAAAUGCAACAAUGUCAUGUUUCCCAAAAAUUUUAGUAGCCUCCAUACCCCGUGGAUAUAUUCUACAGAAACCAUCAUACCAAAUUUCACAAAUUUCCUUUCAAACCACUCUCAAGAUUCGAACUUAUAUAUUUUCAUCGGUUGUUUUUCGAUUUUGUACGCCCCCUCCCCCCGCCGCCGCCGCCGCAUCAGCGAAAAUAUCGAGAAAACGGUAUCGUUCCGAAUUUCGAACAACAGCAAUGCUUUCGCAUCGUUACAACAGCCGGGAAAGUGAAGAGGAAAAAAAAAAAAAAAGAAAGAAAGAAGAGUAAGACGAUAAUAGUUGGUCGAUUGUAUUACGCAUAGCCGUAAGCUCUGCAGAUGCGUGAUGCGCUAAACGUGACGCGGUACGACGUUCCGCGGGGUUAACCGCGAGGAGAAGGCCGUUUUUGGGCAUCGUUACCAGGAAAAAUCGAUGCCAGCGGGCUGAUAGGACGUCGAAAGUAUGGAUUCAUGACGUAGUCUCUCAAAAGGGCCGGCCCGCUUUUAAGCAGGGGCUUUUCGAAAAAGUUUCCGUGGCCAGGUUGCAGCGAGCCUGCGCACCGAUGAACGCGCAAUGCGACACGCGAUAGAGGAGGACAGGGUGACUGGUAAUCUCGUUAAAAAGAGACGGAGACCGGGGGGAUGGAGAAGCGCACAGCGGCGUUCACGAUUAACGUUAAAUUGCUAAGAGGAUUUCACGAUUACCUGUCGCAUCGCUUGGUGCUCCUGGAGUUUUGUAUUCGGUACUACUCAUUCCUCGAAUUAAUACCUCUGCCAACUGUCUUGUCAGAGUAACUCGAAGACUUUGAGUCGUAGUAGACUCCACAGCAGAUAAAAUUUCCCUUUGCUGUUUCCAGAAUUGGUCCAACAUGCUUUGUAGGCACAUAUGAAGAUUGAGAAGACGAAUAUGUACCUGUUGAUAAAAAAAAUACAUAUGUAUAUAGACUAUGAAUAUACCGUGACAUUUCACUAACAUCAAAAAAUUAACUGAAAAAUGUUUAUACGAAUAAAAGUGAAUAUGAUACUAUAAUGUUAUUUAUUGAUUUUGUUUUAGAUAUUCGUUAUUAGUCAUAACUGAUUAUCAUAAUAUAUUAUUCAUAUACUCACGAAUUAUGGAUAUAACAGUAUUAAUUAGCAUUAAUUAACUGAGAACAAUGUACUGAAAAUCAAUUUACGUCAUCUGUAUUGUUACUAUUUAUGGUGA